This 801-nucleotide ribosomal RNA is filed under the name uncultured Rubrobacter sp. Its description in RNAcentral is "bacterial SSU rRNA". It matches the Rfam family "Bacterial small subunit ribosomal RNA", at positions 8 to 796 of the family's 1533-position model. The record is from RNAcentral. Lineage: Bacteria; Bacillati; Actinomycetota; Rubrobacteria; Rubrobacterales; Rubrobacteraceae.
AGAGUUUGAUCAUGGCUCAGGACGAACGCUGACGGUGUGCUUUAGGCAUGCAAGUCGAACGAGAAAGCCCUUCGGGGUGAGUAAAGUGGCGAACGGGUGAGUAACACGUGGGCAACCUGCCCCUCGCAGGGGGACAACCGGAGGAAACUCCGGCUAAUACCCCGUACGCUUGCUGGAUCGCAUGGUCCGGCAAGGAAAGGUAGCUUCGGCCAUCCGGCGAGGGAUGGGCCCGCGUUGCAUUAGCUAGUUGGUGGGGUAACGGCCUACCAAGGCGACGAUGCGUAGCUGGCCUGAGAGGAUGAUCAGCCACACUGGGACUGAGACACGGCCCAGACUCCUACGGGAGGCAGCAGCCAGGAAUCUUGGGCAAUGGGCGAAAGCCUGACCCAGCAACACCGUGUGGGCGAUGAAGGCCUUAGGGUCGUAAAGCCCUGUUGAUAGGGACGAAGGGCGAAGGGUUAAUAGCCCCUAGCUUGACGGUACCUUUCGAGGAAGCCCCGGCUAACUACGUGCCAGCAGCCGCGGUAAUACGUAGGGGGCGAGCGUUGUCCGGAAUUAUUGGGCGUAAAGAGCGUGUAGGCGGUUCGGUAAGUCUACUGUGAAAUCCUGGGGCUCAACCCUGGGCGUGCAGCGGAUACUGCCGGGCUAGAGGGUGGUAGAGGCGAGUGGAAUUCCGAGUGUAGCGGUGAAAUGCGCAGAUAUUCGGAGGAACACCAGUAGCGAAGGCGGCUCGCUGGGCCACACCUGACGCUGAGACGCGAAAGCGUGGGGAGCGAACAGGAUUAGAUACCCCGGUAGUCC